ACUCAAAGGAAUUGACGGGGACCCGCACAAGCAGUGGAGCAUGUGGUUUAAUUCGAUGCAACGCGAAGAACCUUACCCAGGCUUGACAUGCACAGGAAUAUAGCAGAAAUGUUAUAGCCUUUCGGGGCCUGUGCACAGGUGCUGCAUGGCUGUCGUCAGCUCGUGCCGUGAGGUGUUUGGUUAAGUCCAGCAACGAGCGCAACCCUUAUCAUUAGUUGCCAACAUUUCGGAUGGGAACUCUAAUGAGACUGCCUAGGUUAACUAGGAGGAAGGUGAGGAUGACGUCAAGUCCGCAUGGCCCUUAUGUCUGGGGCUACACACGUGCUACAAUGGUCGGUACAGAAGGCAGCAGAACCGCGAGGUGAAGCAAAUCCCAAAAAGCCGGCCCCAGUUCAGAUUGUAGUCUGCAACUCGACUACAUGAAGAUGGAAUUGCUAGUAAUGGCGAGUCAGCAACAUCGCCGUGAAUACGUUCCCGGGUCUUGUACACACCGCCCGU
This 498-nucleotide ribosomal RNA is filed under the name uncultured bacterium. RNAcentral's name for it is "partial 16S ribosomal RNA". It matches the Rfam family "Bacterial small subunit ribosomal RNA", at positions 899 to 1397 of the family's 1533-position model. The record is from RNAcentral.